UUGAUAUACACAUAGCCUUUGGGGUAUAUAUCAAGUGAUUCGCUCUUUGGGGGUAGCUUUGCACAUGUGUAUGACCAAUUUAUUUUUAAUUGCUCCCCUAGGGAUGCCAGUAGCAUUUGCAUUUCCAUCUACAUUAGCAUCAGCAUCAACAUCAACAUCACUAGAUAGUCAUUUUCGUGGAGUCAGUAUUUGCUCUUCUAGGUGGAUGCCAGCUUAUUUUCCCUUUGGGGGCCGCUCUGUGCAUUGUGUAUAACCAGCAUUUUUAUGACUCUUGGGCCUUCAGGAGUGACAUCAUAGAGCCUAAGAUGCCAACAUUGCUCUCAAGCUAUCAGAAUUUAUUAUAUACAGCUGAGAUGCCAGCAAAUCUAACAGGAUACACAUCUGAGUGUAAUGGGAUCUAUGCCUUGGAAAUUAAUUUGGAUUCUUAGGCAAUAAUAAAUUUUAGAGUCAGAAAUAAUGAAAUGGAUAGAAUUUUCAAAUGGGGCAUCAAUCAUAAUUUGACAAGUAUCAUAGAGAUAAUGAUAUCUGUAUUAAAGAGGCAUUUGCAUCCUUUGGGGAUUAUGGGACUAUUAUAUAGCUUUGUAUAGCAAAUGUUGACUUGAAUAAUAAAUUUUUUAUGUUUGAUAACAACGAUGUACAAUCAGUUAUUGGAAUGACUCAAUUGUGGUAGUUGUAUAAAGUGAAGAGCAUAAGAUUAUAAAAAUAGCUUGCUAUAAAUGUGUUAUACUUAUGGUGAUAUAUUAAUGGUGAAAUAGUAAUAGAUGUUAUAAAGGAAGAAUGAUUAGUUAGUUAUUUUCAUAGUUUUCAUAGCUUUAAGGGUUUUGGAUAAAGCGGUGGUUAAUUUUUUGAAAAUUAAGGUAAGUGUGUUUUUAAUUUAUAAAGGUUAUGGAGAAGAUAAUUCUAUUAGAUAUAAAUAGUUAAGUUUAUAAGAUAAUUUAUUGCUACCUCUACUAAGAUUGGGAAUAAAUAUAUAAUAUUUGGAUUUUAAGAACUAUUUAGUGGUGAGAGUGUGCCUUAUAUGUUAAAUGUGGAGAUAGAGAAAAGGAGGAAACUGUAAAUUUAGUAUAAUUAGUGGCAGAUUUAGUAAGAAUGCAAAAGUUGUGUACAAUAGUAUCUAUAUAUGAGGAAAGGAGUUUAAUUUCAGCGGAAGCGUGGUGGUUUCGGAUUAAACUUUAUGGCUCCUUAAGUUGUGAAAUUUUGAGGACGAAAUUCAUAUUUAAGGGGAGAGAAUUAUAACACCCAAAUUUUUGGAAAAAAAAAAUUAUGACACCCCAAUUUUUGGAAAAAAAAUUAUGGAUAUAUUAUAAAUUGGAGAAUUUAUUUAUAAAGAUUUGGGGAGAAAUUUUACGAUUAAUUGGACUUGAAAGUUGAAUUUUAGAAUUUUUUGCGUUAAAAGAGAAUUGUGGAAAAGUUGAAGGACCAAAUAGUAAUUUAGCAAAAAAAAUUUGUGCUGCCCACCUUUUUCCCACGUGAGUCAGUAGUUGGUUUUAAAAAAAAAAUUAAAAUAGCAGCCAAGGGAAGAAGAAUCGGGAAAGAGGAAGAAAAAAGGGGGAAGAAAUGAAAAGAAAGAAAGAAAGAAAACAUCAUGUGGUUGCUGCAUCAGACCAACUGAAUAUUUACUGAAAUUUGGCAAUAGUGACCUUACCAAGAUACAAAUCGAAGUUGAUUUAUUUUACAUGAAAAACUGAAUUUAAGCAGCUGCGCUGUAAUUUAGCAAUAAGCACAAGAAAUCCUCAAAAUAUGCAAUUCCUAUGAACAUCAUAACAAAUCAUUUGAAGACAGCAGAUAAUCCUCAUAAAUGGGCAACAGAAACCUUGAUCAAGACUAAUUAGAACAUAUAUUUAGCACAAAAUGGGAAAACCAAAAUCUGUGAAACUAGAAUUAUGUUGAAAGCAAUGCACUUGGAUCUUA
This 1911-nucleotide unclassified non-coding RNA is filed under the name Hevea brasiliensis (rubber tree). The record is from RNAcentral. Lineage: Eukaryota; Viridiplantae; Streptophyta; Magnoliopsida; Malpighiales; Euphorbiaceae.